UGCUGGAGCGAAUAGAAGUGAGCAUGCAGGCAUGAGUAGCGAUAAUUAAUGUGAGAAUCAUUAACGCCGUAAACCCAAGGUUUCCUACGCGAUGCUCGUCAUCGUAGGGUUAGUCGGGUCCUAAGUCGAGUCCGAAAGGGGUAGACGAUGGCAAAUUGGUUAAUAUUCCAAUACCAACAUUAGUGUGCGAUGGAAGGACGCUUAGGGCUAAGGGGGCUAGCGGAUGGAAGUGCUAGUCUAAGGUCGUAGGAGGUUGUACAGGCAAAUCCGUAUAACAAUACUCCGAGAACUGAAAGGCUUUUUGAAGUCUUCGGAUGGAUAGAAGAACCCCUGAUGCCGUCGAGCCAAGAAAAGUUUCUAAGUUUAGCUAAUGUUGCCCGUACCGUAAACCGACACAGGUGGGUGGGAUGAGUAUUCUAAGGCGCGUGGAAGAACUCUCUUUAAGGAACUCUGCAAAAUAGCACCGUAUCUUCGGUAUAAGGUGUGGUUCGCUUCGUACUAGGAUUUACUCCGAAAGCGAAGAAACUUACAACAAAGAGUCCCUCCCGACUGUUUACCAAAAACACAGCACUCUGCUAACUCGUAAGAGGAUGUAUAGGGUGUGACGCCUGCCCGGUGCUCGAAGGUUAAUUGAUGGGGUUAGCAUUAGCGAAGCUCUUGAUCGAAGCCCGAGUAAACGGCGGCCGUAACUAUAACGGUCCUAAGGUAGCGAAAUUCCUUGUCGGUUAAAUACCGACCUGCAUGAAUGGCGUAACGAGAUGGGAGCUGUCUCAAAGAGGGAUCCAGUGAAAUUGUAGUGGAGGUGAAAAUUCCUCCUACCCGCGGCAAGACGGAAAGACCCCGUGGACCUUUACUACAGCUUGACACUGCUACUUGGAUAAGAAUGUGCAGGAUAGGUGGGAGGCUUUGAGUAUAUGACGCCAGUUGUAUAUGAGCCAUUGUUGAGAUACCACUCUUUCUUAUUUGGGUAGCUAACCAGCUUGAGUUAUCCUCAAGUGGGACAAUGUCUGGUGGGUAGUUUGACUGGGGCGGUCGCCUCCCAAAUAAUAACGGAGGCUUACAAAGGUUGGCUCAGAACGGUUGGAAAUCGUUCGUAGAGUAUAAAGGUAUAAGCCAGCUUAACUGCAAGACAUACAAGUCAAGCAGAGACGAAAGUCGGUCUUAGUGAUCCGGUGGUUCUGUGUGGAAGGGCCAUCGCUCAAAGGAUAAAAGGUACCCCGGGGAUAACAGGCUGAUCUCCCCCAAGAGCUCACAUCGACGGGGAGGUUUGGCACCUCGAUGUCGGCUCAUCGCAUCCUGGGGCUGGAGCAGGUCCCAAGGGUAUGGCUGUUCGCCAUUUAAAGCGGUACGCGAGCUGGGUUCAGAACGUCGUGAGACAGUUCGGUCCCUAUCUGCCGUGGGCGUAAGAAGAUUGAAGAGAUUUGACCCUAGUACGAGAGGACCGGGUUGAACAAACCACUGGUGUAGCUGUUGUUCUGCCAAGAGCAUCGCAGCGUAGCUAAGUUUGGAAAGGAUAAACGCUGAAAGCAUCUAAGCGUGAAGCCAACUCUAAGAUGAAUCUUCUCUAAGCUCUCUAGAAGACUACUAGUUUGAUAGGCUGGGUGUGUAAUGGAUGAAAGUCCUUUAGCUGACCAGUACUAAUAGAGCGUUUGGCUUAUCUUU
This 1662-nucleotide ribosomal RNA is filed under the name Campylobacter jejuni. RNAcentral's name for it is "partial 23S ribosomal RNA". It matches the Rfam family "Bacterial large subunit ribosomal RNA", at positions 1271 to 2925 of the family's 2925-position model. The record is from RNAcentral. Lineage: Bacteria; Pseudomonadati; Campylobacterota; Epsilonproteobacteria; Campylobacterales; Campylobacteraceae.